GCAAAUUCUACAGGUUCUUAUCAGUCAGUGUUUUGAGCUGAUCUUGAACACAGUGGGGCAUCCAGGCACAGGUAUGAGUAUUGGGUAUCAAACAGAUCUGAAAGCAGCUCAUCUCCCCCACAGAUGCUCACUAUGAGCAGAGCCAGGUUGACACAGGCACUUAGAGCUGUAGGCAUCCUGUAGGCUCCCAGUGGCAGGGCUGUGGGAAGUCCCAGGGGGGCAGGCAGAAGUAUUUUUAUGCCUACAAUGGGAUUGUGGCAGUGAUUUGUCAUGAGGCUCUAAAAUUAUUCACCCUUGGUCAUCUUCUUUUUUUGUUGUUGUUGAGAUGGGGUCUUACUAUGUUGUCCAGGUUGAUCUCGAAUUCCUGGCCUCAAGGGAUCCUCCUGCCUUGGCCUCCCAAAGUGCUGAGAUUACAGGGAAGAACCACAAGUACCCAGCCCACCCUUGGUCCUUGAAGGAAGAUAGAAUGCCAGAGAGUUGUCUAAGGAGGGCCCACCACGACCAGCUGCAGCACCCAGGCAGAUAAAAUUAUCAAACAGAGAAAGAAACAAAGAUUUCUUCCACAAACAGAACUGGCCCUGAAACCCUCCUGAAACUGGCAGACAGGAGGAAAGCAAGGCGGAGGAUGCUGGGAUAUGAACUGUCUCACUGUCAUGAGACCAUUGCCAGUUUCUCUUGCAGCCCGAGCAGAUGAGGCAGCACUUUCGGGGACAGGCUAAUCUCUCCCCUGCCUUGGAGCGGGGCAUUCCCAAGUCACAGACACUGUACGAGUACACCCCAUGACAGGGAAACCUCUCUCUCUCUAACAGGAAAGUGCUUCUUCUGCUCUGGCUGAAGCAGAUUCUCUCUGUCGGAACUAAGUAUGCAUGAUAUAGCUAUUGGGAUAUAAUAACCAUCCAUUCUGGAAAAAUAACAAAAGGCUUUUAUGCAACUCCAAUUCUGUGAACUUUGACUAAAUUUGAUUCCCAGUGUAUCAAGACUCCCACAAAGCGGUUUCAUGGAAACUUUCAGAGUUCUUGCCCACCACCAGAGGCCAUCUCCACUGCGUCCAGCCAGAUAGAAGAGAUAGUUCCAGAUCCUUCCACGUGGGCUCAUAGAGGGAACUGGGGACCCGGGGAGGGUGUCAGAGGGCUCAGAUUUGACUUGGUUUAGACGUGACCCCGCAGAUUGCCAGUUUUCUCACCUGGAUUCUAUCUACCCGCUCUGUGGAAUGCAGAGCAAUUGCACCUGGGUGAAGGUUAGUGAGCCCAAGUGCAUGAGGCAGCACUGUGGGCUUUCCCUGGGUCUGAAGAAGCCCGAGGACCGGUGUUACGGUCCCUGAGUUCUCAGCCCACCCCAGGCCCUGCAGCGCUGUGGAAGAUGCUCCUCCCCUGGCUUUGCUUAGGGAUAGAUCUGAGGUCACCCAGGGACCCACAGCUGCAUCCUCCGCAGCGUUCUGACUAACCCUGAGUCAAGUGUUAGGGCUCAGAAAAGCUUCAACAAUAAAAAUAGCUCCAGGAAAGUGGCAGCUUCAAUUCUUCGUGCCUUCGUGUGGGUGAAUGCCUCCUUCCACACCACUCACUGGGAGGCUCUUGGAAAGCACAUCUGAAACUCCAAAUGAAAAGAACAGAUCCAGUUAACUCUCCCAGACUUAGGGGUAAAAACUGAAGCUCAGAACCAUUGUAAUUGUUAAAUGAUGGCAGCUUGUUCUGGUGGCCUGGCAGCCCCUUCUCUGGAGUAGCUGGGCUGUACAUUGAGUUGAGACAUUGUCCGCAGAGGACUUUUUAGAUGGACUGGAGAUGACCAAUCUGGAGGACAAAGAGCUGAGACCUGGUAGCAGAGCCCAGAGACCCAACAGGCUCACCUGACGUGAGGUUGGCUAUAAACGUGAGUCCUAGAGAAGGGAGCUGGGCUCACUGUCCAGGCCCUCUGCCAUCUGGAGCUGCUCUCCUGGUGCCCUUGGGGUGGCCCCAAGGAAGGUGCUCGGCUUUUGGCUCCAGGAUUCCAUUAAGAGCAAAGGAGAGGCCGGGCACAGUGGCUCAUGCCUGUAAUCCCAGCACUUUGGGAGGCUGAGGAGGGUGGAUCAUGAGGUCAGGAGAUCUAGAUCAUCCUGGCUAACAUGGUGAAACCCCGUGUGUAUUAAAAAUUAGCUGGGCGUGGUGGUGGGUGCCUGUAGUCCCAGCUACUUGGGAGGCUGAGGCAGGAAAAUGGCGUGAACCCAGGAGGCAGAGCUUGCAGUGAGCUGAGAUCGCUCCACUGCACUCCAGCCUGGGCGACAGAGCAAGACGCCAUCUCAAAAAAAAAAAAAAAAAAAAAAAAAGCAAAGGAGAGGUGAGACCUCCAUGCUAUUGAGGAGGAACCCUCUGACACUGUGACUCUUUUAGGAUUUUCAGCCCAGGAAAAGAAAAAAAGAAAAGCAUGCUUGUGACAGUAUAAGAUUCUAUUUCAGGACAAGAAACAGUAUUUUGGGUGAAUCUAAGGAAGUCAUUUUGUCAAGUUUCAGACAGAAGCCACAACAACAACAACAAAAAUUUAAAUAGAGAGCCCAAGAGGGUUGGCAUGGCCUCAUCAAGAAGAGGUUUGCCUCGGAAUCUUCCAUAAAAAGCCAGAAAAGCAGCACAAAGUGCGGACCAGCGGGAGCACAUGCCAUAGUUAUCAGAGCAUGCCCUGCUGGCCGCCUUCCCCACCCAGAAAACACAUUUGGCUUCAGACACCAAGGAUACAGGGGACAGAGAAAGACAGAAACAGAGAGAAGCUCGGAAAAUAACUCUACAUUGUAUUCAUCCUUACUGAGUGCUUACCACAGAUCAAGACGUUCUGCUAGCUCCUGGGACAAAAAGACAUUCUAAUUUUUCACUGCUAAGGGGCUUUUUUUUUUUUUUUUUUUUUUCUUGAGACAGAGUCUCACUCUGUCACCCAGGUUGGAGUGCAGUGUUAUAAUCUCAGCUCACUGCAACCUCUGCCUCCCAGGUUCAAGCAAUUAUCCUUCCUCAGCUUCCUGAGUAGCUGGGAUUACAGGUGCACACGCCAGCACGGCCAGCUAAUUUUUGUAUUUAUUGUGUGUUUUAGUAGAGACAGGGCUUUGCCAUGUUGGCCAGGCUGGUCUUGAACUCCUGACCUCACAUGACCCCCUGCCUUGGCCUCCCAAAGCACCGGGAUUAUGGGUGUGAGCCACUGUGCCCGGCCUAAUUUUUGUAUUUUUAGUAGAGACAAGGUUUCACCAAGUUGGCUAGGCUGGUCUCGAACUCCUGACCUCAAGUGAUCCACCCGCUUUGGCCUCCCAAAGUGCUGGGAUUACAGGUGUGAGCCACCGUGCCUGGCCUGCAACUUUUGAUUUUAAUCCCAACAGUCCACUAUUAUGAACAGCUACUCUGGGCUGGCUACUGUUAUGAAACCCGUUGCCUCAUUUCAUCCCCAUGACAAAGCUAUGAACUAACCUGCCCUGGACAUUGGAUAGGAGCAUGGACAUUGUGUUAGUUCAUUCUUGCACUGCUAUGAAGAACGACCUGAGACUGGGUAAUGCAUAAGCAAAGAGGUUUAAUUGGCUCAUGGUUCUGCAGGCUGGACAGUAAGCAUAGCAGCCUCUGCCUCUGGAGAGACCUCAGGAAGCUUCCAAUCGUGGUGGAAGGCUAAGGAGACUCAGGCACAUCUCAAGGCUAAAGCAGGAGCAAGAGAAUGAGAAGGGAGGUGCCACACACUUUUAAAUGACCAGAUCUCUCAAGAACUCACUCACUAUUGCGAGAACAGUACCAAGGAGAUGGUACUAAACCAUUCCAUUCAUGAGAACUCCACUCACGAUCCAGUCACCUCCCACCAGGCCUCACCUCCAAAACUUGGGAUUACAAUUGAACAAGAAGUUUGGGUGUGGACACAGGUCCAAGCCAUAUCAACAUUAGAGCCAGAUCAGGCUUCAAAGCCAGCCUUGGCCACUUAUUUGCUGUGUGGCCUUGGAUGAUUUGCUUGACCUCUCUGUGGCUCAGUUUCUUCAUCUAUAAAAUAAAAGUAGUACCCAUGUCUACCUUGUGAGAUUGUUGUGAUGAUUACGUUAGUAUAUAUAAAA
RNAcentral lists this long non-coding RNA (4039 nucleotides) under Macaca mulatta (Rhesus monkey). RNAcentral describes it as "lncRNA (ENSMMUG00000061779.1)". Lineage: Eukaryota; Metazoa; Chordata; Mammalia; Primates; Cercopithecidae. The record is from RNAcentral.